Small nucleolar RNA from Mastomys coucha (southern multimammate mouse), 135 nucleotides. The record is from RefSeq and is a predicted model, not a curated record. Lineage: Eukaryota; Metazoa; Chordata; Mammalia; Rodentia; Muridae.
UUGGCCCUGGAUCAAGGCCAGUAGUUUACUGAAGCUGUUGCUUUCAAGUAGGAACCUAAAGAAAUGUCUUUUUCUAUGGUCAGUUGGCCAUGUCAGAAAUUUGUAAUUCAUUAGAAACAUCUGAAAAAAAAAUUU